Long non-coding RNA from Mauremys reevesii (Reeves's turtle), 280 nucleotides. RefSeq lists it as uncharacterized. The transcript is spliced from 3 exons. NCBI's taxonomy places the organism in Eukaryota, Metazoa, Chordata, Testudines, Geoemydidae. The record is from RefSeq and is a predicted model, not a curated record.
AGAAGCACUCUGCUGAUGGGCUGGCCAAAUCACUUGGGUCUGGCAAUAACCAGUAGAUUCUAGACCAGAGACAGCAUCAGACUGCAACAAAAACAUUGAAUAUGAUAUUUUGGGUUUGAGGAAUCAUAAAGCUGUGUGGCAAUUUCAAUGACCUUCUGUCUUCUAAUCUCAACCUGACUACAAUACCCAAUAAUCAUAGAUCCAAGGCAAAUAAAGAAAUGCAUUCGGUGGUGAUGAAAUGUCUUUCGUUCAGCCUGGAUUGAAUCAAAGACCAUCAGAG